GCAAACUUGGUCAUUUAGAGGAAGUAAAAGUCGUAACAAGGUUUCCGUAGGUGAACCUGCGGAAGGAUCAUUAAUGAAUAAACUUGGUCGAGUUGUUGCUGGUCUCUUUUAAGGGACAUGUGCACGCUUUGACUUUUGUUUUUAACCACCUGUGCACCUUUUGUAGACUUUGGAGUCAUUUAAAACCUUGGUUUUGUAUUGGGAGUUGUGUUUAGCUCUCCCUGUUUCUCCAUGGUCUAUGUCUUUUUAUACACCCUUGAUAUGUAAAGAAUGUAUUUUUGGGCUUUUUUAAAGCCUAUAAAAAUGUUAUACAACUUUCAACAACGGAUCUCUUGGCUCUCGCAUCGAUGAAGAACGCAGC
RNAcentral lists this unclassified non-coding RNA (361 nucleotides) under uncultured fungus. RNAcentral's name for it is "partial contains small subunit ribosomal RNA, internal transcribed spacer 1, and 5.8S ribosomal RNA". The stretch from base 1 to 73 matches the Rfam family "Eukaryotic small subunit ribosomal RNA", at positions 1759 to 1831 of the family's 1831-position model. Lineage: Eukaryota; Fungi. The record is from RNAcentral.